This 724-nucleotide ribosomal RNA is filed under the name Streptococcus sp. L1997. RNAcentral's name for it is "bacterial SSU rRNA". It matches the Rfam family "Bacterial small subunit ribosomal RNA", at positions 30 to 737 of the family's 1533-position model. Lineage: Bacteria; Bacillati; Bacillota; Bacilli; Lactobacillales; Streptococcaceae. The record is from RNAcentral.
CGAACGCUGGCGGCGUGCCUAAUACAUGCAAGUAGAACGCUGAAGAGAGGAGCUUGCUCUUCUUGGAUGAGUUGCGAACGGGUGAGUAACGCGUAGGUAACCUGCCUUGUAGCGGGGGAUAACUAUUGGAAACGAUAGCUAAUACCGCAUAACAAUGGAUGACACAUGUCAUUUAUUUGAAAGGAGCAAUUGCUCCACUACAAGAUGGACCUGCGUUGUAUUAGCUAGUAGGUGAGGUAAUGGCUCACCUAGGCGACGAUACAUAGCCGACCUGAGAGGGUGAUCGGCCACACUGGGACUGAGACACGGCCCAGACUCCUACGGGAGGCAGCAGUAGGGAAUCUUCGGCAAUGGGGGCAACCCUGACCGAGCAACGCCGCGUGAGUGAAGAAGGUUUUCGGAUCGUAAAGCUCUGUUGUAAGUCAAGAACGGGUGUGAGAGUGGAAAGUUCACACUGUGACGGUAGCUUACCAGAAAGGGACGGCUAACUACGUGCCAGCAGCCGCGGUAAUACGUAGGUCCCGAGCGUUGUCCGGAUUUAUUGGGCGUAAAGCGAGCGCAGGCGGUUUGAUAAGUCUGAAGUUAAAGGCUGUGGCUCAACCAUAGUUCGCUUUGGAAACUGUCAAACUUGAGUGCAGAAGGGGAGAGUGGAAUUCCAUGUGUAGCGGUGAAAUGCGUAGAUAUAUGGAGGAACACCGGUGGCGAAAGCGGCUCUCUGGUCUGU